RNAcentral lists this ribosomal RNA (1517 nucleotides) under uncultured prokaryote. RNAcentral describes it as "partial 16S ribosomal RNA". It matches the Rfam family "Bacterial small subunit ribosomal RNA". The record is from RNAcentral.
AUGAAGAGUUUGAUCCUGACUCAGGAUGAACGCUAGCGGCAGGCUUAACACAUGCAAGUCGAGGGGUAACAGGAAUAUUGCAAUCCGCUGACGACCGGCGCACGGGUGCGUAACGCGUAUACAAUCUGCCUUACACGGGGGGAUAGCCUUUAGAAAUGAAGAUUAAUACCCCAUGGUAUGUGACUGUGGCAUCACAGACACAUUAAAGGUUACGGGGGAAGAUGAGUAUGCGUCCUAUUAGUUUGUUGGUGAGGUAACGGCUCACCAAGACGACGAUAGGUAGGGGCCCUGAGAGGGGGAUCCCCCACACUGGUACUGAGACACGGACCAGACUCCUACGGGAGGCAGCAGUGAGGAAUAUUGGACAAUGGAGGCAACUCUGAUCCAGCCAUGCCGCGUGCAGGAAGACGGCCCUAUGGGUUGUAAACUGCUUUUAUACAGGAAGAAACACUCCCUCGUGAGGGAGCUUGACGGUACUGUAAGAAUAAGGACCGGCUAACUCCGUGCCAGCAGCCGCGGUAAUACGGAGGGUCCGAGCGUUAUCCGGAAUCAUUGGGUUUAAAGGGUCCGUAGGCGGGAAUUUAAGUCAGUGGUGAAAUCUUGCAGCUCAACUGUAAAAUUGCCAUUGAUACUGGAUUUCUUGAAUUAGUGUGAAGCAGUUAGAAUAUGUAGUGUAGCGGUGAAAUGCAUAGAUAUUACAUAGAAUACCAAUUGCGAAGGCAGAUUACUAAUAAUAUACUGACACUGAUGGACGAAAGCGUGGGUAGCGAACAGGAUUAGAUACCCUGGUAGUCCACGCCGUAAACGAUGGAUACUAGCUGUUCGAUCUUCGGAUUGAGUGGCUAAGCGAAAGUGAUAAGUAUCCCACCUGGGGAGUACGUUCGCAAGAAUGAAACUCAAAGGAAUUGACGGGGGCCCGCACAAGCGGUGGAGCAUGUGGUUUAAUUCGAUGAUACGCGAGGAACCUUACCAGAGCUUAAAUGCAUAUUGACAGGGCCAGAGAUGGCUAUUCCUUCGGGCAAUUUGCAAGGUGCUGCAUGGUUGUCGUCAGCUCGUGCCGUGAGGUGUCAGGUUAAGUCCUAUAACGAGCGCAACCCCUGUUGUUAGUUGCCAGCGAGUAAUGUCGGGAACUCUAGCAAGACUGCCGGUGCAAACCGCGAGGAAGGUGGGGAUGACGUCAAAUCAUCACGGCCCUUACGUCCUGGGCUACACACGUGCUACAAUGGUAGGUACAGAGAGCAGCCACGUCGCGAGGCGGAGCGAAUCUAUAAAACCUAUCACAGUUCGGAUCGGAGUCUGCAACUCGACUCUAUGAAGCUGGAAUCGCUAGUAAUCGGAUAUCAGCCAUGAUCCGGUGAAUACGUUCCCGGGCCUUGUACACACCGCCCGUCAAGCCAUGGAAGCUGGGAGUGCCUGAAGUCCGUCACCGUAAGGAGCGGCCUAGGGUAAAAUUAGUAACUAGGGCUAAGUCGUAACAAGGUAGCCGUACCGGAAGGUGCGGCUGGAACACCUCCUUU